CACACACACAUUCUCUCUUUGGUGCAGGGCGGUCGUUAGUGUAGAAGGUAGGGCCCGUGGUGAGUAGAGUCUUCUAGAAGGUAGGGCCCUUGGUGGGUAGAGUCUUCUAGAAGGUAGGGCCCGUGGUGGGUAGAGUCUUCUAGAAGGUAGGGCCCGUGGUGGGUAGAGUCUUCUAGAAGGUAGGGCCCUUGGUGAGUAGAGUCUUCUAGAAGGUAGGGCCCGUGGUGGGUAGAGUCUUCUAGAAGGUAGGGCCUGUGGUAGGUAGUGUUCUAGAAGGUAGGGCCCGUGGUAGGUAGUGUUCUAGAAGGUAGGGCCCGUGGUAGGUAGUGUUCUAGAAGGUAGGACCGGUGGUAGGUCCGACCCUGAGGAGCUAAGGAUGUGUAGAAGCCGGUAGAAUAUUGGUGACAGCAG
This is a long non-coding RNA of Gadus morhua (Atlantic cod), 411 nucleotides long. RefSeq lists it as uncharacterized. The record is from RefSeq and is a predicted model, not a curated record. Lineage: Eukaryota; Metazoa; Chordata; Actinopteri; Gadiformes; Gadidae. The transcript has 3 exons.